UUAGGGUUAGUUUCUCGUGGCCAUUCGAGCUUUGAAGGCUAGGGUCAGAAGGUUUAGGAUUUUGGUUAAGGUUUUGGUGCAAGUUUUGUAUCAUUUGGGGUUUUUAUGAAGAAGUUAUAGGCGCUCAAAGUUAAGGUGUAAGUUUUCGACGUACUGUCACUCUUUUGAGCAUACCGCACGCGUACGGACAGCAAACGAGGAUCGGCGACCGGAUUUGAAGAGAGAACUUUUUCGGCUACAGUUUGUGCAUACUGUUUAUCGAAUUCCAAGCUUUUAUGAAGGAGAUAUUGGCAGUUGAAGUCAGCGCUUGAUAUCUAAGGGUAGUAAGUAGCUCGAAUUACUUGUGCUUGUGAUUUGAGCUAUAUCUUAGACAAUUUGAUGAGGUUUUAGCUCAAAAUUUUCAAGAUUGAGUGCAAUCCUGUUAUAAAGCUUUCUAUACAAGUUUUGUGUGAUUUGGAGCUUAGGUUUAAGAGAUAUAAGGAAAAUAGUUUUCGGGUGCUUGUAAGUUAGGGUUUUGUACACCUGCUAGGGUUUCUUAGAUGCCGAACGAUCGGUGAUAGAUGUACGGUUCAAUGUUUUUGUGGUAAAAGUUAAGUAUAUCAUCUAGCUUAUGUAGAAAUUUGAAACAAAGUGAACGGUUGGAUUAGCUUUUAUGAAUUUUCAAAGUCUGAUGUAAAAAGGUCCUUGGCGGGAAGAAAUAUAUUUUGAAGAAUUUUAAGAUAUUUUGAAUUUUUAAACAAAGCAAGG
RNAcentral lists this long non-coding RNA (747 nucleotides) under Physcomitrium patens. Its description in RNAcentral is "long non-coding RNA (PPAT_LNC014181)". The record is from RNAcentral. Lineage: Eukaryota; Viridiplantae; Streptophyta; Bryopsida; Funariales; Funariaceae.